GUCCACGCGGAAAUGCACAGCGGCUGACUUGAUGACGUCACCACAGUAGGCGGUCCUUCUUUACGCGCGCACACGGAAACAAAUAAAGGGGCAGCAGCGGGUAAACGAGCUCCGACCGGGUGAAGCACGAGGCGAAGUUACGGCAGCAGAGCGACAUGAACGGGCUGAUAGAACCACAACUACCGGCUCCAAUACUCUAGCUCCGACCGGGUGAAGCACGAGGCGAAGUUACGGCAGCAGAGCGACAUGAACGGGCUGAUAGAACCACAACUACCGGCUCCAAUACUCUGUAAGUACGCGAGUGUUUGAAUGAAGCACACCUGGAACUAUAACCGGGUGUUUUACUUCUGCUGCCCACCCGAUACGGGAAAAACGGUCCUUUUUGUUAAGCUUAGCGGUAGCGGUAAGUAGCACUUAUUUUCUCAUUUGGUAAUUUCCUAAUUUAUGUGAUCAUUGUGGCCUUGGUUGCGUAUGCCAGUGCAGCUUUCUUUGGUUAAAAAAAUGUAACCGCGCCCCCUUUUACAUUGUUUAUUUUGAGCUGUUAAAAAUGUGUGAUAUGUCAGUUCUGCCCUUUUCAACUUAGAAAUGUGUAUAUUUCUGUGGCGCUUUAGUAAUGGGCACUGAGUAAUGAGAAAUAUUUAAGAGUGGUGUCAGUUUUUAUUUGUGAGAAUCAAGGUGUUAAAGAUAAAUGGUUAUUCUUGGUAUCCUC
Long non-coding RNA from Gasterosteus aculeatus aculeatus (three-spined stickleback), 709 nucleotides. Lineage: Eukaryota; Metazoa; Chordata; Actinopteri; Perciformes; Gasterosteidae. The record is from Ensembl.